This 53-nucleotide small RNA is filed under the name Cohnella sp. CIP 111063. Its description in RNAcentral is "Streptococcus sRNA SpF59 (ldcC RNA)". It matches the Rfam family "Streptococcus sRNA SpF59 (ldcC RNA)". RNAcentral also lists the same sequence under 1 other name. The record is from Rfam by way of RNAcentral. Lineage: Bacteria; Bacillati; Bacillota; Bacilli; Caryophanales; Paenibacillaceae.
UGACCACUUCCGACAAGAAGUUGAGGCCAACGGACAGCCGGGUCAAAUGCCGA